GCGGGUGUAGUUCAAUGGUAGAACAUCAGCUUCCCAAGCUGAGUAUGAGGGUUCGAUUCCCUUCACCCGCUCCA
RNAcentral lists this transfer RNA (74 nucleotides) under Lysobacteraceae bacterium. RNAcentral describes it as "Xanthomonadaceae bacterium tRNA-Gly". It matches the Rfam family "tRNA". Rfam says of the family: Transfer RNA (tRNA) molecules are approximately 80 nucleotides in length. Their secondary structure includes four short double-helical elements and three loops (D, anti-codon, and T loops). Further hydrogen bonds mediate the characteristic L-shaped molecular structure. tRNAs have two regions of fundamental functional importance: the anti-codon, which is responsible for specific mRNA codon recognition, and the 3' end, to which the tRNAs corresponding amino acid is attached (by aminoacyl-tRNA synthetases). tRNAs cope with the degeneracy of the genetic code in two manners: having more than one tRNA (with a specific anti-codon) for a particular amino acid; and 'wobble' base-pairing, i.e. permitting non-standard base-pairing at the 3rd anti-codon position. Lineage: Bacteria; Pseudomonadati; Pseudomonadota; Gammaproteobacteria; Lysobacterales; Lysobacteraceae. The record is from RNAcentral. RNAcentral also lists the same sequence under 1 other name.